CCUACGGGAGGCAGCAGUGGGGAAUAUUGGGCAAUGGGCGCAAGCCUGACCCAGCAACGCAGCGUGAAGGAAGAAGGCUUUCGGGUUGUAAACUUCUUUUCUGAGGGACGAAGAAAGUGACGGUAACUCAGGAAUACACCACGGCUAACUACUUGCCAGCAGCCGCGGUAAUACGUAGGUGGCAAGCGUUAUCCGGAUUGAUUGGGUGUAAAGGUCGUGUAGGCGGGAAAGCAAGUCAGAUGUGAAAACUCAGGGCUCAACCCUGAGCCUGCAUUUGACACUGUUUUUCUUGAGUGCUGGAGAGGUAAGCGGAAUUCCGGGUGUAGCGGUGAAAUGCGUAGAUAUAAGGAGGAACACCAGUGGCGAAGGCGGAUUGCUGGACAGUAACUGACGCUGAGGCGCGAAAGUGUGGGGAGCAAACAGGAUUAGAUACCCUUGUAGUC
RNAcentral lists this ribosomal RNA (443 nucleotides) under uncultured bacterium. RNAcentral describes it as "partial 16S ribosomal RNA". It matches the Rfam family "Bacterial small subunit ribosomal RNA", at positions 338 to 795 of the family's 1533-position model. The record is from RNAcentral.